Molecule: transfer RNA, 74 nt
Filed under: Candidatus Sulfopaludibacter sp. SbA4
Lineage: Bacteria; Pseudomonadati; Acidobacteriota; Terriglobia; Bryobacterales; Solibacteraceae
Description: tRNA-Gly
Source: RNAcentral
ACAAACGGGUGAGGGGUUGGAGCGUUUGCCUCCCGAGCAAAAGGUCGGCCGUUCGAAUCGGCCCGGGCGUACCA